GUUCUUUCAAAAAUUGCUGAGUCUGGCAAGUCCUCUCUGUACUCUCAAAUUGAAGAAUCUCAAAUGGCUGUCAAUUUAAAAUAAUAGUGACCCUCAGUUGUGGCAUUCAAUAACAAUCAUCAGGAGAAAAGAAAUUCUUCAGCUCUACCAAAUCUCAGUUUUGUUCUCAAGGAACACAACAUUUAAUUACUCCCGUCCCAGUAAUCAAAGAACUCGUCCUUCUGGUGCCGCAAAUUUGAUACACUACCCUGACCCCAGCAUCUCUCUACCUUCUUAAGAGCUUUCAGUGCAAUUCCACUGCAAUCAUCUCUG
RNAcentral lists this unclassified non-coding RNA (312 nucleotides) under Hevea brasiliensis (rubber tree). Lineage: Eukaryota; Viridiplantae; Streptophyta; Magnoliopsida; Malpighiales; Euphorbiaceae. The record is from RNAcentral.